Molecule: transfer RNA, 73 nt
Filed under: Acropora cervicornis
Lineage: Eukaryota; Metazoa; Cnidaria; Anthozoa; Scleractinia; Acroporidae
Description: tRNA-Asn
Source: RNAcentral
UGCUUCAUAGCUUAGUUGAUUAGAGCAUCGCACCGUUGUUGCGGGGUCACACGUUCAAACCCUGUUAAAGUCC